GCCAGUGUGGUGUAGUGGUUUGAUCAUGGGACUACAACUUUUGAGGUCAGGGUUCAGUUCCCUGCUCAGCCA
This is a non-coding RNA of Phrynosoma platyrhinos (Desert horned lizard), 72 nucleotides long. The record is from the annotation of a GenBank genome assembly. NCBI's taxonomy places the organism in Eukaryota, Metazoa, Chordata, Lepidosauria, Squamata, Phrynosomatidae.